Molecule: transfer RNA, 74 nt
Filed under: Oleiagrimonas soli
Lineage: Bacteria; Pseudomonadati; Pseudomonadota; Gammaproteobacteria; Lysobacterales; Rhodanobacteraceae
Rfam family: tRNA
About the family: Transfer RNA (tRNA) molecules are approximately 80 nucleotides in length.
Source: Rfam by way of RNAcentral
GGCCCCGUAGUUCAGCUGGAUAGAACAGCCGCCUCCUAAGCGGCAGGUCGCAGGUUCGAAUCCUGCCGGGGUCG